AACGAACGCUGGCGGCAGGCCUAACACAUGCAAGUCGAGCGCACCCUUCGGGGUGAGCGGCGGACGGGUGAGUAACGCGUGGGAACGUGCCCUUCUCUGCGGAAUAGCCUCGGGAAACUGAGAGUAAUACCGCAUACGCCCUUUGGGGGAAAGAUUUAUCGGAGAAGGAUCGGCCCGCGUUGGAUUAGGUAGUUGGUGGGGGAAUGGCCAACCAAGCCGACGAUCCAUAGCUGGUUUGAGAGGAUGAUCAGCCACACUGGGACUGAGACACGGCCCAGACUCCUACGGGAGGCAGCAGUGGGGAAUCUUAGACAAUGGGGGCAAACCUGAUCUAGCCAUGCCGCGUGAGUGAUGAAGGCCUUAGGGUUGUAAAGCUCUUUCAGCUGGGAAGAUAAUGACGGUACCAGCAGAAGAAGCCCCGGCUAACUCCGUG
Molecule: ribosomal RNA, 433 nt
Filed under: uncultured bacterium
Lineage: Bacteria
Description: partial 16S ribosomal RNA
Rfam family: Bacterial small subunit ribosomal RNA
Source: RNAcentral